AUGAACGCUGGCGGCGUGCCUAAUACAUGCAAGUCGAGCGAACAGACGAGAGUGCUUGCACUCUCUGACGUUGGCGGCGGACGGGUGAGUAACACGUGGGUAACCUACCUAUAAGACUGGGAUAACUUCGGGAAACCGGAGCUAAUACCGGAUAAUAUUUAUCUUCGCAUGAAGCAAUAGUGAAAGACGGUUCUGCUGUCACUUAUAGAUGGACCCGCGGUGUAUUAGCUAGUUGGUGAGGUAACGGCUCACCAAGGCAACGAUACAUAGCCGACCUGAGAGGGUGAUCGGCCACACUGGGACUGAGACACGGCCCAGACUCCUACGGGAGGCAGCAGUAGGGAAUCUUCCGCAAUGGACGAAAGUCUGACGGAGCAAUGCCGCGUGAGUGAAGAAGGUUUUCGGAUCGUAAAACUCUGUUGUAAGGGAAGAACAAGUACGUUAGUAACUGAACGUACCUUGACGGUACCUUACCAGAAAGCCACGGCUAACUACGUG
This 498-nucleotide ribosomal RNA is filed under the name uncultured bacterium. RNAcentral's name for it is "partial 16S ribosomal RNA". It matches the Rfam family "Bacterial small subunit ribosomal RNA", at positions 29 to 507 of the family's 1533-position model. The record is from RNAcentral.